AGGGGUGUAGCUCAGUCCGGGUAGAGCAGCGGUCUCCAAAACCGCAGGUCGGGGGUGCGAAUCCCUCCACCCCUGCCA
Molecule: transfer RNA, 78 nt
Filed under: Chloroflexota bacterium
Lineage: Bacteria; Bacillati; Chloroflexota
Description: tRNA-Trp
Rfam family: tRNA
About the family: Transfer RNA (tRNA) molecules are approximately 80 nucleotides in length. Their secondary structure includes four short double-helical elements and three loops (D, anti-codon, and T loops).
Source: RNAcentral